GGAACCAUUUGGUGGAACCAAAUGCCCUGAAACCGUUGUAAAACAUAACACCACACGACACUGGCAGUGUUGAGGUCGACGGUUCGAUCCCGUCUAGCUCCA
RNAcentral lists this transfer RNA (102 nucleotides) under Luminiphilus sp. RNAcentral's name for it is "tRNA-Ser". Lineage: Bacteria; Pseudomonadati; Pseudomonadota; Gammaproteobacteria; Cellvibrionales; Halieaceae. The record is from RNAcentral.